AUUGAACGCUGGCGGCGUGCCUAACACAUGCAAGUCGAGCGGCAGCGCGGGAGCAAUCCUGGCGGCGAGCGGCGGACGGGUGAGUAACGCUUGGGAAUCUGCCUGUUAGUGGGGGACGAACCCGGGGAAACGUCGGGCGUAAUACCGCAUACGCACUACGGUGGAAAGCCGGGGACCGCAAGGCCUGGCGCUAACAGAUGAGCCCAAGUCGGAUUAGCUAGUUGGUAGGGGUAACGGCCUACCAAGGCGACGAUCCGUAACUGGUCUGAGAGGACGACCAGUCACACCGGAACUGAGACACGGUCCGGACUCCUACGGGAGGCAGCAGUGGGGAA
Molecule: ribosomal RNA, 335 nt
Filed under: uncultured bacterium
Lineage: Bacteria
Description: bacterial SSU rRNA
Rfam family: Bacterial small subunit ribosomal RNA
Source: RNAcentral